UACGAAGGGGGCUAGCGUUGCUCGGAAUCACUGGGCGUAAAGGGUGCGUAGGCGGGUCUUUAAGUCAGGGGUGAAAUCCUGGAGCUCAACUCCAGAACUGCCUUUGAUACUGAAGAUCUUGAGUUCGGGAGAGGUGAGUGGAACUGCGAGUGUAGAGGUGAAAUUCGUAGAUAUUCGCAAGAACACCAGUGGCGAAGGCGGCUCACCGGCCCGAUACUGACGCUGAGGUGCGAAAGCGUGGGGAGCAAACAGG
RNAcentral lists this ribosomal RNA (253 nucleotides) under uncultured bacterium. RNAcentral's name for it is "partial 16S ribosomal RNA". It matches the Rfam family "Bacterial small subunit ribosomal RNA", at positions 524 to 776 of the family's 1533-position model. The record is from RNAcentral.